GUAUAAAGGCAAACUGCCCGAAAGGGCGGGACGCAAAGCAAUGGGCCUAACAAUGCCGUUGUGCAUUCAUGGCUGCCAGGCUGCCG
This 86-nucleotide non-coding RNA is filed under the name Paenibacillus ihuae. RNAcentral describes it as "Cyclic di-GMP-I riboswitch". It matches the Rfam family "c-di-GMP-I riboswitch aptamer". Rfam says of the family: GEMM was predicted in a large-scale screen for bacterial structured RNA regulatory elements. The record is from RNAcentral. Lineage: Bacteria; Bacillati; Bacillota; Bacilli; Caryophanales; Paenibacillaceae.